Molecule: ribosomal RNA, 375 nt
Filed under: uncultured organism
Description: partial 16S ribosomal RNA
Rfam family: Bacterial small subunit ribosomal RNA
Source: RNAcentral
GGGGGGGGCAAGCGUUGUUCGGUAUUACUGGGCGUAAAGGGCGUGUAGGCGGCCCUGCAAGUCUUUCGUGAAAUCCCACAGCUCAACUGUGGAACUGCGAGGGAAACUGCAGGACUUGAGUCCGGGAGAGGAGAGUGGAAUUCCCAGUGUAGCGGUGAAAUGCGUAGAUAUUGGGAGGAACACCGGUGGCGAAGGCGGCUCUCUGGACCGGCACUGACGCUGAGGCGCGAAAGCUAGGGGAGCAAACGGGGAUUAGAUACCCCGGUAGUCCUAGCCUUAAACGAUGAGCACUUGGUGUGGCGGGUAUCGACCCCCUGCCGUGCCCGAAGCUAACGCAUUAAGUGCUCCGCCUGGGGGAGUACGGUCGCAAGGCUG